AGUAGGAGGAAGACAAAUCAGAUUUUUCCUCCUAAUUUUCAAUUUUUUUCCUCCUGAAAAUUUCAAAUACAACUGAAAAAGCUAAAAAUUUAGAGGAAAAUCUGAUUUGUCAUCCUCCUAUU
Gossypium arboreum is the source of this 122-nucleotide non-coding RNA. NCBI's taxonomy places the organism in Eukaryota, Viridiplantae, Streptophyta, Magnoliopsida, Malvales, Malvaceae. The record is from Rfam.